Molecule: ribosomal RNA, 781 nt
Filed under: uncultured Sphingomonas sp.
Lineage: Bacteria; Pseudomonadati; Pseudomonadota; Alphaproteobacteria; Sphingomonadales; Sphingomonadaceae
Description: bacterial SSU rRNA
Rfam family: Bacterial small subunit ribosomal RNA
Source: RNAcentral
ACGAACGCUGGCGGCAUGCUAAUACUGCAAGUCAAACGAGAUCUUCGGAUCUAGUGGCGCACGUGGUGCGUAACGCGUGGGAAUCUUGCCCUUGGGUUCGGAAUAACUUCUGGAAACGGAAGCUAAUACCGGAUGAUGACGUAAGUCCAAAGAUUUAUCGCCCAAGGGAUGAGCCCGCGUAGGAUUAGGUAGUUGGUGAGGUAAAGGCUCACCAAGCCGACGAUCCUUAGCCUGGUUUGAGAGGAUGAUCAGCCACACUGGGACUGAGACACGGCCCACACUCCUACGGGAGGCAGCAGUAGGGAAUAUUGGACAAUGGGCGAAAGCCUGAUCCAGCAAAUGCCGCGUGAGUGAUGAAGGCCUUAGGGUUGUAAAGCUCUUUUACCCGGGAUGAUAAUGACAGUACCGGGAGAAUAAGCUCCGGCUAACUCCGUGCCAGCAGCCGCGGUAAUACGGAGGGAGUUAGCGUUGUUCGGAAUUACUGGGCGUAAAGCGCACGUAGGCGGCUAUUCAAGUCAGAGGUGAAAGCCCGGGGCUCAAACCCGGAACUGCUUUGAAACUAGAUAGCUUGAAAUCCAGGAGAGGUGAGUGGACAUUUCCGAGCUGUAGAGCGUGAAAAUUCGUAGAUAUUCGGAAAGAACACACCAGUGGCGAAAGGCGGCAUCACAUGGACCUGGUUAAUUGACGCUUAAGUGCCGAAAAGCGUUGGGGGAAGCCAACACAGGACUAGAUACCCUGGUAGUACACGCCCGUAAACGAUGAUAACUAGCUUUCCAGGGCA